CUGGUCAGCCAUUACGUGGCACAGUGCCGACAAACUAAACAGCUACUGUAAAGCCGGAAACAUAUUUAAAUCGAGAUACCGACAUUGUGUUGAUUCAGUGAUUAUUUACUGCAACAACAAGGGUCAAUUUAUUUUCCACGCCACUCUGCCAAGUUUAAUAACCCUCUGAUUUCGAGGCUUAUAUAUAUACAAUUUGGUAUAGAGCUAAAUUUUAUUAUUUCUCACAAUUCAAUUUAUAUUGUAUUUAUCCAAUUUUAUGCGGAAAAGAAUCUGAAAGUAACUCACUCGACAAUGCUCAGCGAUGCUCGGGUAAGUUAUGUUACGGCGUACGUUUGUUCCCCCUAUACAAAUAAAUUUGCUAUAGGAUAAUACCGUAACCACCCAUUUUGCAUUUCUCUCGGACCUCCGUCGCCUCUACUUGUUCCUACAGUUGUUCACACUCCAGUUAGGAUAGAGCUCAAUGCGUUUGACAGGUACAUGUUAGAGUGAGAAAUAGCUGGAUGCAGGUUAUUAAGACAGAAGAAAAAAAUUUCACCAGAUGCUGCAAGAAAUAAUCCACAAGAGACAGUAAUGUUGCCUUGUAAUACGUGUCUGCACGCAUUAAAACCAUAAUAGUAGUUUUAUCAGUGCGACAUAUUUUUUACCUAUUACAACAAGAAGAAGAGCAUAUAAAAUCAUCAAUGAAACACCUUUGAUUGAUCUAAGCAGCUACAGUCAUUCCAAUAAGAGGAAUCGAAGGGAUGAAUUGCUUGUUUCGUGAAGCAAAUAAUUUGCUGACGAAGCAACAGUAUUUUGGUGCUCUCCAAAAAUAAGAGCUACAGCUGUGAAAUUCUAAUAUUUUAUCUGAGUGGAGGAUAUCUAGUAGUAAUUAUUAAAAUACCACAAGAAGAAUCGUGCAAGUGUUACAGGAAAUACGAUAAAGUUUGACAGGUAUAUUGAAAUUUGGUCAGUUAAAAUAUACUGCGACCUGACAAAGUAUACAAUGGAAGGAAUUAAGUGAUCUGUAUAUAACAUAAUUGAAACAUAAGUUGAUUCGGUGCAUAUAACAAAUUUGCUGGUAUUUAUAUUAAUUCAUGUGUUGAAUGAAUAAAUGUUUAUAAUUAAUAAAUUAAUAUCAUAUGAAAUAUAUAUAUAUAUAUAU
This is a long non-coding RNA of Hylaeus volcanicus, 1141 nucleotides long. RefSeq lists it as uncharacterized. Lineage: Eukaryota; Metazoa; Arthropoda; Insecta; Hymenoptera; Colletidae. The transcript is spliced from 4 exons. The record is from RefSeq and is a predicted model, not a curated record.